This 324-nucleotide ribosomal RNA is filed under the name Triticum aestivum (bread wheat). Its description in RNAcentral is "partial small subunit ribosomal RNA". The record is from RNAcentral. Lineage: Eukaryota; Viridiplantae; Streptophyta; Magnoliopsida; Poales; Poaceae.
AUGCUCCAGCGCACAGCCCGGACCUGGCUGAACAGCCCGAGGCCUCGCAACAUCAACAGCUGGGUUGAUUUUACUGAAGCAUUCAUCCGCAACUUCACUAGCACGUACAAGUGGCCGCCCAAGCCUCGCCAGCUCUCCUUAUGCGUUCAAGGCCCCAACGAGUCGAUUCGCGACUAUCUCACGCGCUGGGCCGAGUUGCGCAACUCUUGCGAGGGCGUGCACGAGGUGCAGGCCAUCGAGUACUUCACUACGGGUGCCGAGAGGGCACCCUCCUCAAGCACAAGCUUCUCUGCGACGAGCCGACGACCCUCGACGAACUGCUAA